AGAUCGCGACAUAGACAAUGUGUUACAAACAACUACCGAAACAUUUUUUUACAGUAAUUGGUUAAUAAAAUUCGUUCAUGUAAUUGGUAUUCUACCCACAAUGCAGGACUGUCUAUAGGGUGCCUACAUACUCCUUCGAUUGAUCGAAAGAUGCUAUUUAAAUAAUUAAACACAUUUAGUGAUGAUGUCAUAAUACACCGGUAACGUGAGCUUAAACGAAGGAUAAUCUACUAUAGAAAUUUUUCCGGUACCUCAACUAUCCACACGUUUAUAUUUUGUCUGGCUGAAAUACCUUGUAUAUUAAAUAACAAACUGAUCUCUUAGGCAACACUGUAAUCUUCGAACAUAACCUUACUUUACUUCACUUUUACAUUUUUAAAGGAUGGGUUUUUUAAAACAAUGUCAACAUUAGAAGAGGGACUACGAAUACUUUUUACCGAAUUAGAUCAACACAGCAAGAUAAUUAAAUACGAGAAUGUGAUCUCGGACGAUAACUUUUCGGUGUCGCUCCGUACCAAGCUAAGUAACGAAAGUACGUGGAGUAAAGCGUGCGAUCGAUGGGUGGAACGAUUCACAGUACAAACCAACUCAAAAUGGGUGGUUAAGUACACGUUUCCGAAGACUCUACGCAUGGCCUAUCGUAAAGUUUACAUCUGCAAGGAGAACAGCGUGGCCAGCAGAAAUCGGAAUAAAUCCUGUAAGGCAAAAAUCGAUAUCAGAAUUAAAAAGGUGACUGAAUCGGCGUUGAAGAAGGAUUCACUUUUGAGAACUGGAUAUAACGGUGACAUUAAGGUGGUUUUUAGUCAUUCUCACAGCCGAUAAUACAACAGUCUACGCAAUAUUAUUGUAAAUCCCUACGACAUCGUCUACACUACUUAAUUUAUCGAAGAACCUCGAACACUUCUCCAUAUCAUCGUCACUCAACUCGAUCCUCCUAAUCGGAAUAUAAUCUAAGGACGCCUCGACAAUGUUGUACUUUAACUCUUCCAAGUUCUUCUGCACUUUCAUGAAACUAUGCGGGUCACUUGUGAACUGCAACAAAUUGUCGUCAACCAACACCACGUCCUCAGCUUCGCACUCGAUCGCGUGAUUAGUGGCGGCCUCCAAAAUGUCAUCGGCCAAUUUCCCACUAAACGCCGAAGGCACCUCCGUCUGGAUGACACCCUUAUGAUCGAAGAAAUGCCGACCGCCACUCUCCGAGUACCGACACCUGAAACAGACCCUGUAGCCGAGAAAGUCAAAACCGGUCCGCACUCACGAAUGCUUCUUCAUCAUCGACGCGAUGUCCUGCUUGGUCUUGGUCACGUUAGGCGAACACACCUCGCACAGUAUAAUGCAGUUACCGGGCCCUCUGAAAUAUCGAAAGGCUUUUCAUUUGCGUCUUGUCCUUCUGCGUGCUUUUAAUGACACUGUCGAUCGUCGCCGCCGGCAUAUUGGAACGUUUGGCUUGAGCGAUUAUUUGUUCCAGCCUGAGAUUUGCGCUCGGAUUCGCCGAUCCACCCUCUACA
Molecule: long non-coding RNA, 1508 nt
Organism: Photinus pyralis (common eastern firefly)
Lineage: Eukaryota; Metazoa; Arthropoda; Insecta; Coleoptera; Lampyridae
Exons: 3
Source: RefSeq, a predicted model, not a curated record